Molecule: ribosomal RNA, 253 nt
Filed under: uncultured bacterium
Lineage: Bacteria
Description: partial 16S ribosomal RNA
Rfam family: Bacterial small subunit ribosomal RNA
Source: RNAcentral
UACGGGGGGGGCAAGCGUUGUUCGGAAUUACUGGGCGUAAAGGGCUCGUAGGCGGCCAACUAAGUCAGACGUGAAAUCCCUCGGCUUAACCGGGGAACUGCGUCUGAUACUGGUUGGCUUGAAUCCGGGAGAGGGAUGUGGAAUUCCAGGUGUAGCGGUGAAAUGCGUAGAUAUCGGGAGGAACACCAGUGGCGAAGGCGGCGAUCUGGGAAGAUACUGACGCUGAGGUGCGAAAGCGUGGGGAGCAAACAGG